RNAcentral lists this ribosomal RNA (467 nucleotides) under uncultured bacterium. RNAcentral describes it as "partial 16S ribosomal RNA". It matches the Rfam family "Bacterial small subunit ribosomal RNA", at positions 28 to 506 of the family's 1533-position model. The record is from RNAcentral.
GACGAACGCUGGCGGCGUGCUUAACACAUGCAAGUCGAACGGAAAGGCCCUGCUUUUGUGGGGUGCUCGAGUGGCGAACGGGUGAGUAACACGUGAGUAACCUGCCCUUGACUUUGGGAUAACUUCAGGAAACUGGGGCUAAUACCGGAUAGGAGCUCCUGCUGCAUGGUGGGGGUUGGAAAGUUUCGGCGGUUGGGGAUGGACUCGCGGUUUAUCAGCUUGUUGGUGGGGUAGUGGCUUACCAAGGCUUUGACGGGUAGCCGGCCUGAGAGGGUGACCGGCCACAUUGGGACUGAGAUACGGCCCAGACUCCUACGGGAGGCAGCAGUGGGGAAUAUUGCACAAUGGGCGGAAGCCUGAUGCAGCAACGCCGCGUGCGGGAUGACGGCCUUCGGGUUGUAAACCGCUUUCGCCUGUGACGAAGCGUGAGUGACGGUAAUGGGUAAAGAAGCACCGGCUAACUACGU